This 74-nucleotide transfer RNA is filed under the name Candidatus Pacearchaeota archaeon. RNAcentral describes it as "tRNA-Thr". It matches the Rfam family "tRNA". From Rfam's summary of the family: Transfer RNA (tRNA) molecules are approximately 80 nucleotides in length. Their secondary structure includes four short double-helical elements and three loops (D, anti-codon, and T loops). Lineage: Archaea; Nanobdellati. The record is from RNAcentral.
GCCUCUAUAGCUCAGGGGUUUAGAGCGACUGCCUUGUAAGCAGUAGGUCGGGGGUUCGAAUCCCCCUAGAGGCU